Molecule: non-coding RNA, 735 nt
Organism: Vicugna pacos (alpaca)
Lineage: Eukaryota; Metazoa; Chordata; Mammalia; Artiodactyla; Camelidae
Source: RefSeq, a predicted model, not a curated record
GACUCCAGACGGAGCCUCGGGCUCGAGCCUUUUGUCUCCCCGCAGCUCCGAGGGUCCGGACGGCGACUGCGUCCGCCUCUCCCGCCCCUCCCAGAGCGCAGCCCGGCGGGGAACCAGCCCCGGGCCCGGAGCCGGGGCCGCAGGGCGUCCGGGGGCUUCAGAGUAGAGUUGAAUGAUUUACAGAAAGAAGCAGAUUAUGUAUUGCUGAGAAGUCCAUGUUUAUUUCAUCGGAAACAGUGAGUACAGAGGAAGUCAGCAAUAACAGGACAAGGAAGAGAAGCUGAUUAUGGACCACUGAACUUGAGGAAAAAGCCAUGACUACUAAGGAUGCUUCUCUGCCCCAAGAACAGAGCACAGAAGAAAUGAGUCCUACUGUAGAGCUCCUUCCUGUUGAAUUCCAGAGGUUCAUGGAAAUCCCAUCCGGAGAACUGAACCAAAGUAAUUUUUCCCUGACCACUUGAAGCUCUAGGGAGAGCUCAGGCAGGAGCUUUAAAUUUGGGAGUAAUCGGUGUGAAUGGUACUUUAAAGUAUGAAACUGUGAUCACUAAGGGAAUAAGUGUAGACAGAAAAGAGAUGGGAUCUUAUUACUGAGCCCUGUAGCUUCCAACACUUCGAGGUCAGGAAGAUGAAGAGGAACCAGCAAAGGAGACUGAGAAGAUGUGGCCAGUGAGGCAGGGGGAAGUUCAAAGUGUGGCAUCCUGGUAACCAAUUGAGGAAAGUGUUCUAAGGAGAAGG